Molecule: transfer RNA, 68 nt
Filed under: Macrodiprion sp. 2 GYN-2022c
Lineage: Eukaryota; Metazoa; Arthropoda; Insecta; Hymenoptera; Diprionidae
Description: tRNA-Gly
Source: RNAcentral
AUUUAUAUAUUAUAAAAAGUAUAAUUGAUUUCCAAUCAAUAUGUCUAAUUAAAUUAUUAGUAUAAAUA